Molecule: long non-coding RNA, 272 nt
Filed under: Populus trichocarpa (black cottonwood)
Lineage: Eukaryota; Viridiplantae; Streptophyta; Magnoliopsida; Malpighiales; Salicaceae
Description: long non-coding RNA (PTRI_LNC000801)
Source: RNAcentral
GCUAAGUUUAACAUAUAGUCGAUGCUCCCUUAAGGUCAUCAAUACUUGCCUUGUUCAUGCUCCAAAUAUGACUUUGCAGUUAAAUUCUAUGUCUAUUCAUGUAUUGUUUGAUUCGGGUGCCACACACUCAUUUGUUGCAAAUAAACUUAUGGGGGGAUUAGGGAGAAAUCCUUGUAGAAUAGAAAAUAGGUUUAUUAUAAGCACUUCAUUAAGUGAAACUGUGAAUGUUGAUCAUAUGUAUAAAGGGGUCCAGAUUAAUAUAGGUGGUUGUG